AUUGAACGCUGGCGGAAUGCUUUACACAUGCAAGUCGAACGAUGAACCUUAGCUUGCUAAGGGGAUUAGUGGCGAACGGGUGAGUAAUAUAUCGGAACGUGCCUUGUAAUGGGGGAUAACUAGUCGAAAGAUUAGCUAAUACCGCAUACGCCCUGAGGGGGAAAGUAGGGGAUCUUCGGACCUUACGUUAUAAGAGCGGCCGAUAUCUGAUUAGCUAGUUGGUGGGGUAAUGGCCUACCAAGGCGACGAUCAGUAGCUGGUCUGAGAGGACGACCAGCCACACUGGAACUGAGACACGGUCCAGGCUCCUACGGGAGGCAGCAGUGGGGAAUUUUGGACAAUGGGCGCAAGCCUGAUCCAGCCAUUCCGCGUGAGUGAAGAAGGCCUUCGGGUUGUAAAGCUCUUUCGCAAGGGAAGAAAACUUACCAUCGAAUAAAUGGUGAGGCUGACGGUACCUUGAGAAGAAGCACCGGCUAACUACGUG
RNAcentral lists this ribosomal RNA (484 nucleotides) under uncultured bacterium. RNAcentral describes it as "partial 16S ribosomal RNA". It matches the Rfam family "Bacterial small subunit ribosomal RNA", at positions 30 to 507 of the family's 1533-position model. The record is from RNAcentral.